Molecule: ribosomal RNA, 563 nt
Filed under: uncultured Pseudomonadota bacterium
Lineage: Bacteria; Pseudomonadati; Pseudomonadota
Description: bacterial SSU rRNA
Rfam family: Bacterial small subunit ribosomal RNA
Source: RNAcentral
GGUGGAGUAUGUGGUUUAAUUAGAUGCAACGCGAAGAACCUCACCUGGCCUUGACAUGUCGAGAACUUUCCAGAGAUGGAUUGGUGCCUUCGGGAACUUGAACACAGGUGCUGCAUGGCGGUCGUCAGUUCGUGUCGUGAGAUGUUGGGUUAAGUCCCGCAACGAGCGCAACCCUUGUCCUUAGUUGCCAGCACGUAAUGGUGGGAACUCUAAGGAGACCGCCGGUGACAAACCGGAGGAAGGUGGGGAUGACGUCAAGUCCUCAUGGCCCUUAUGGGUAGGGCUUCACACGUCAUACAAUGGUCGGAACAGAGGGUCGAUAAGCCGUGAGGUGGAGCCAAUCCCAGAAAACCGAUCGUAGUCCGGAUCGUAGUCUGCAACUCGACUACGUGAAGCUGGAAUCGCCUAGUAAUCGCGGAUCAGCAUGCCGCGGUGAAUACGUUCCCGGGCCUUGUACACACCCGCCCGUCACACCAUGGGAGUGGGUUGCACCCAGAAGUAGCUAGUCUAACCUUCGGGAGGAACGGUCACUCAUCGGUAGGAUUCAUGACUGGGGGAAGUCU